UCAAACUUGGUCAUUUAGAGGAAGUAAAAGUCGUAACAAGGUUUCCGUAGGUGAACCUGCGGAAGGAUCAUUACUGAGUUAGGGUUCGCAUGAGCCCGACCUCCAACCCUUUGAUUAAACUACCAUGUUGCUUUGGCAGGCCCGUCUUACCCGGACCGCCGGGGGCAUUUGUCCCUGGCCAGUGCCUGCCAGUAGCCAAUUUUAAUUCUUUUUAACGGUGCAGUCUGAACUAUACCAAAAAUUUAAUUAAAACUUUCAACAACGGAUCUCUUGGUUCUGGCAUCGAUGAAGAACGCAGC
This 299-nucleotide unclassified non-coding RNA is filed under the name uncultured fungus. RNAcentral describes it as "partial contains small subunit ribosomal RNA, internal transcribed spacer 1, and 5.8S ribosomal RNA". The stretch from base 1 to 73 matches the Rfam family "Eukaryotic small subunit ribosomal RNA", at positions 1759 to 1831 of the family's 1831-position model. The record is from RNAcentral. Lineage: Eukaryota; Fungi.